AUGCAUUGCUUUGUUAUGACAGCUGAACCCUCCUGUGAAGCAGACUUACACCGAGCAAAUCCAAAAGUUUAGAUUCUGAGGCAAACUACUUUGUGGUUGUAAGCGGGACUCAUCUAUUAUUUGAAAUAGGCUGCCUGGAGAAAAAAAAAAACGAGUGCGGACAGCAUUUAAGAAAGGAAAGAGUGAGAUUGACCAGUCAUCUGUGAAUCUCCCAUGGUUUAGCUGAUAAUUCAUGAUCGCCCUGCCAUGGACCCGCAGCAUUCAAUAUGAAUUAUAAAAUGGCAAGCCAAGCAUAUCAAUGGAUGACAGACUGGAUGUGUAUGGCCCGGGGCCAGAGAGGAGUUAGAGCACAAUAGCCUCCCCAUUCAGUCAACCCCAGGACUGGAAAUGCCAGUGUGGCACGAGGGAGGCUCUUCCAUCAGCACAAUGUAUGGCACUGCUUGAGACAAAUGUUGAGCUGAGAUGUAUUGUUAACCUUUACAACCUUUUGGGGAGAAACAUAAGCAUGCUGGUAUGUUCAAACCAAGGAAUAUUUCACAAUCUUCCUUCGAGAGAACUGUGCAGUGUGUUAUCCGGAGCAGCGGGGGGGCUCAAAACCAACAGACAAAAAAACAGAGAAGAAAAUCUUUUUUAGGAAUCUUUUGCCUUUUUUCUCAUGCAUGAUUCUGUGUCUACUGACUUGUUUAUUCAAAAAACUGCAUAUUAAUGUCCGUCAUUCGCUCACUCUGCCCAUGCUGGACCUAAACAAACACUGCCUCUUCGCUCUGAUCCCCGUCUCUGCAGAUAGGACACAGACCACUUAAUCUUUUACAUUUCCCUUUUUGUGCAAUAUUUAGAUACGAAGGCCUGCUCUCCUUUUGGCAUUUAAACACAACAGCCAACUAAAAGCGUUGAGACUAGACUUUACGAUAUAAUCCCCCCCCCCUAAAUCUGUCUUUCUUUACUUUAAAGACUCAGAUAGCAGCUCUCAUUCAGUCACAUUAGAUGUGUGCCUGUGCACUUGCCCCACCUUUGUGGCUGCUCCCUUUGAAUCUGUAUCGUCUUCUUCAUAUCUGCAGACUGGGCGGUCUGAAACAUCUAAAACAAAUCUGAUACCUGCAUGACCUAGUUUACUCGAGCAGGAGCGUCAUUUUAUAGACUUGUUAUAUAACGGCACAUGGAUGAAGACGAAAUGGAGUACAUAUAUUGAGAGCAAGAAACCGCAUAUAUGGAGAAUUCAGAAGUGUCUGUAUGGCGUAUACUCAAUUAAAAAUAUUAAAAAGA
Sebastes umbrosus (honeycomb rockfish) is the source of this 1263-nucleotide long non-coding RNA. RefSeq lists it as uncharacterized. NCBI's taxonomy places the organism in Eukaryota, Metazoa, Chordata, Actinopteri, Perciformes, Sebastidae. The record is from RefSeq and is a predicted model, not a curated record. The transcript is spliced from 2 exons.